RNAcentral lists this ribosomal RNA (433 nucleotides) under uncultured bacterium. Its description in RNAcentral is "partial 16S ribosomal RNA". It matches the Rfam family "Bacterial small subunit ribosomal RNA", at positions 29 to 507 of the family's 1533-position model. The record is from RNAcentral.
AACGAACGCUGGCGGCAUGCCUAACACAUGCAAGUCGAACGAGACCUUCGGGUCUAGUGGCGCACGGGUGCGUAACGCGUGGGAACCUUCCCUUAGGGUCGGAAUAACUCCCCGAAAGGGGUGCUAAUACCGGAUAAUGUCUUCGGACCAAAGAUUUAUCGCCUUUGGAUGGGCCCGCGUUGGAUUAGCUAGUUGGUAGGGUAAAAGCCUACCAAGGCGACAAUCCAUAGCUGGUCUGAGAGGAUGAUCAGCCACACUGGGACUGAGACACGGCCCAGACUCCUACGGGAGGCAGCAGUGGGGAAUAGUGGACCAUGGGCGAAAGGCUGAUCCAGCACUGCCGCGUGAGUGAUGAAGGCCUUAGGGUUGUAAAGCUCUUUUACCCGGGAUGAUAAUGACAGUACCGGGAGAAUAAGCUCCGGCUAACUCCGUG